This 229-nucleotide unclassified non-coding RNA is filed under the name plant metagenome. Its description in RNAcentral is "partial contains small subunit ribosomal RNA, internal transcribed spacer 1, and 5.8S ribosomal RNA". The record is from RNAcentral.
UCUCCGUAGGUGAACCUGCGGAAGGAUCAUUACAGAGUUCAUGCCCUACCGGGUAGAUCUCCCACCCUAUGUUAUUAUUACUUUGUUGCUUUGGCGGGCCGUUAGGCUCCGGCCCGACUACCGGCCCCGGCUGGUAAGCGCCCGCCAGAGGACCCAAAACCCUGAAUAUUAGUGUCGUCUGAGUACUAUAUAAUAGUUAAAACUUUCAACAGCGGAUCUCUUGGUUCUG